GAAAAAACAAUGACAAGGACAGUAAUUUAUAAUACCAUUUUUCAGAGAGGGAUAUGCGGUGAAAUUAUCCUAAAUGCCUAUAGAUGAAAACCACCUUGAAGUGACUUUAAUACAGUACGGCUGAGCACCGUUAAAAGCUUUCUAUGAGACCUGAAUUUUUAGGUAAAGUAGGGUGGAACCACGAAUGUUAUACGCUCGUCCCUUCA
RNAcentral lists this non-coding RNA (206 nucleotides) under Clostridium cadaveris. RNAcentral's name for it is "T-box sequence". It matches the Rfam family "T-box leader". Rfam says of the family: Uncharged tRNA acts as the effector for transcription antitermination of genes in the T-box leader family. T-boxes are found upstream of many aminoacyl-tRNA synthetase genes and some amino acid biosynthetic genes usually in Gram-positive bacteria. The anticodon of a specific tRNA base pairs to a specifier sequence within the T-box motif, and the NCCA acceptor tail of the tRNA base pairs to a conserved bulge in the T-box antiterminator hairpin. The record is from RNAcentral. Lineage: Bacteria; Bacillati; Bacillota; Clostridia; Eubacteriales; Clostridiaceae.